GUCCAUGGUAGGAAACCUAAAACAAAGCCCAGGGUUAUGUUGCAAAAAUCCAGGUGAUGUAAGUAAAAGUCCAAGUGAAGAAACUUACCUCACCUGGAUCUUUGCAUCAUAACCCUGGGCUUUAUUUUGGUAAUCUUAUUACGGA
Molecule: microRNA precursor, 145 nt
Filed under: Physcomitrium patens
Lineage: Eukaryota; Viridiplantae; Streptophyta; Bryopsida; Funariales; Funariaceae
Description: Physcomitrella patens miR1056 stem-loop (ppt-MIR1056)
Source: miRBase by way of RNAcentral